Molecule: long non-coding RNA, 557 nt
Filed under: Capsicum annuum
Lineage: Eukaryota; Viridiplantae; Streptophyta; Magnoliopsida; Solanales; Solanaceae
Description: long non-coding RNA (CANN_LNC021013)
Source: RNAcentral
GGCUUCAAUAUUAAUAUCAUAGAAAGAAUGGGUGAAAUAUAAUAAUAGUGAACAAAACAUGACAUGAUUAGAUCUAAAUCCAAUCCAAAUAAGCUUGGAUUAGAUCGUACUUUUAAGUUCGAUUUUGGAUAAAUCGAUUUGGAUAUUUUGAGUUUUCGAUAUAGUUUGAGGGUGCAAGUUUGUUGAGCUACUGUUGCUGCUUAAAAAUAUUCUAGUUAAAUUGUUUUAAUGGUUGCUCGAAUUAUAAUUAACGGGCAUCUCAGCUUCGGAAAUUCUCAAGAUAAGCCUCCAAUAGAUUAAAAAAGGUUUCCAAGAUAUAUAUACUUCAUCCAUUCCUUUUCAGUUAUCAUGUUUCGUUUCUUAAGAGUGAACUUGAUUAAUUUUUAAAGCUAAAUUAUAUUUGAUUUAUUCAAUAUUUUAAAAUUAAAAUUUGUAUAUUCAAAAAACUAUAUGAAAAGUACUUUAAGUUGUACUUUUUCUUUUAAUAAUAUAAUGAAAAAAUAAUCUAAAAAUAUUGAUCAAAGUUCAUAUUAUUUGAUUCUUCAAAAAGAAAUUAU